CGACCAGUCACUACAACAUCACUACGACCAGUCACUACAACAUCACUACGACCAGUCACUACAACAUCACUACGACCAGUCACUACAACAUCACUACGACCAGUCACCACAACAUCACUACAACAUCACUACGACCAGUCACCACAACAUCACUACGACCAGUCACCACAAGAUCACUACGACCAGUCACCACAAGAUCACUACAACCAGUCACCACAACAUCACUACACCCAGUCACCACAAGAUCACUACGACCAGUCACCACAACAUCACUACACCCAGUCACUACAAGAUCACUGCGACCAGUCACCACAACAUCACUACACCCAGUCAUUACAAGAUCACUACGACCAGUCACAACAACAUCACUUACGACCAGUCACUACAACAUCACUACGACCAGUCACCACAACAUCACUACACCCAGUCACCACAACAUCACUACGACCAGUCACUACAAGAUCACUACGACAUCACUACACCCAGUCAUUACAAGAUCACUACGACCAGUCACCACAACAUCACUUCAACAUCACUACGACCAGUCACCACAACAUCACUACACCCAGUCACCACAACAUCACUACACCCAGUCACUACAAGAUCACUACGACCAGUCACCACAAGAUCACUACGACCAGUCACCACAAGAUCACUACAACCAGUCACCACAACAUCACUACACCCAGUCAUUACAAGAUCACUACGACCAGUCACCACAACAUCACUACACCCAGUCACUACAAGAUCACUGCGACCAGUCACCACAACAUCACUACACCCAGUCAUUACAAGAUCACUACGACCAGUCACUACAACAUCACUACGACCAGUCACCACAACAUCACAACACCCAGUCAUUACAAGAUCACUACGACCAGUCACUACAACAUCACUGCGACCAGUCACUACGACCAGUCACUACAACAUCACUGCGACCAGUCAUAACAACAUCACUGCGACCAGUCAUUACAACAUCACUGCAACCAGUCAUUACAACAUCACUACACCCAGUCAAUACAACAUCACUACACCCAGUCAAUACAACAUCACUACACCCAGUCAAUACAACAUCACCACAACCAGU
Molecule: long non-coding RNA, 1087 nt
Organism: Oncorhynchus tshawytscha (Chinook salmon)
Lineage: Eukaryota; Metazoa; Chordata; Actinopteri; Salmoniformes; Salmonidae
Source: Ensembl